RNAcentral lists this ribosomal RNA (236 nucleotides) under uncultured Rhodoferax sp. RNAcentral's name for it is "partial 16S ribosomal RNA". It matches the Rfam family "Bacterial small subunit ribosomal RNA", at positions 1142 to 1382 of the family's 1533-position model. Lineage: Bacteria; Pseudomonadati; Pseudomonadota; Betaproteobacteria; Burkholderiales; Comamonadaceae. The record is from RNAcentral.
AAUGAGACUGCCGGUGACAAGCCGGAGGAAGGUGGGGAUGACGUCAAGUCCUCAUGGCCCUUAUAGGUGGGGCUACACACGUCAUACAAUGGCUGGUACAAAGGGUGCAACCGCAGGGGAGCCAAUCCCAUAAAGCCAGUCGUAGUCCGGAUCGUAGUCUGCAACUCGACUACGUGAAGUCGGAAUCGCUAGUAAUCGUGGAUCAGAAUGUCACGGUGAAUACGUUCCCGGGUCUU